GCCGGCGUAGCCCAAAGGCAGGAGGCACACCCCUUAGGAGGGUGACAGUGUGGGUUCGAAUCCCACCGCCGGCA
RNAcentral lists this transfer RNA (74 nucleotides) under Actinomycetospora corticicola. It matches the Rfam family "tRNA". Rfam says of the family: Transfer RNA (tRNA) molecules are approximately 80 nucleotides in length. Lineage: Bacteria; Bacillati; Actinomycetota; Actinomycetes; Pseudonocardiales; Pseudonocardiaceae. RNAcentral also lists the same sequence under 1 other name. The record is from Rfam by way of RNAcentral.